CUACGGGACGCAGCAGUAGGGAAUAUUGCCCAAUGGACGAAAGUCUGAGGCAGCAACGCCGCGUGCGCGAUGAAGGCCUCCGGGUUGUAAAGCGCUUUUACGAGGGAAGAGAAAGGACGGUACCUCGUGUAUAAGGAUCGGCUAACUACGUGCCAGCAGCCGCGGUAACACGUAGGAUUCGAACGUUAUCCGGAUUUACUGUGCGUAAAGCGCGUGCAGGCGGUUUGGUAAGUUGGAUGUGAAAGCUCCAGGCUCAACCUGGAGAGGUCGUUCAAUACUGCCAGACUAGAGGACGGUAGAGGGAGGUGGAAUUCCGGGUGUAGGGGUGAAAUGCGUAGAUAUCCGGAGGGACACCAGUGGCGAAGGCGGCCUCCUGGGCCGUUCCUGACGCUCAGACGCGAAAGCUAGGGUAGCGAACGGGAUUAGAUACCCUCGUAGUC
RNAcentral lists this ribosomal RNA (440 nucleotides) under uncultured bacterium. RNAcentral describes it as "partial 16S ribosomal RNA". It matches the Rfam family "Bacterial small subunit ribosomal RNA", at positions 339 to 795 of the family's 1533-position model. The record is from RNAcentral.